This 689-nucleotide ribosomal RNA is filed under the name uncultured bacterium. Its description in RNAcentral is "bacterial SSU rRNA". It matches the Rfam family "Bacterial small subunit ribosomal RNA", at positions 8 to 694 of the family's 1533-position model. The record is from RNAcentral.
AGAGUUUGAUCCUGGCUCAAGAUGAACGCUGGCGGCAUGCCUAAUACAUGCAAGUCGAACGGGGUGCUUGCACCCAUUGGCGAACGGGUGAGUAACACGUAUCUAAUCUACCUUUUAGUGGGGGAUAACAGUUGGAAACGACUGCUAAUACCGCAUACGACGUCAUUAUCGCAUGAGAAGACGUUAAAAGAUCCGUUUGGAUCGCUAGAACAUGAGGAUGCGGCGUAUUAGCUAGUAGGUGAGGUAAUGGCUCACCUAGGCGAUGAUACGUAGCCGAACUGAGAGGUUGAUCGACCACAUUGGGACUGAGAUACGGCCCAGACUCCUACGGGAGGCAGCAGUAGGGAAUUUUUCACAAUGGACGAAAGUCUGAUGAAGCAAUGCCGCGUGAGUGAUGACGGUCUUCGGAUUGUAAAGCUCUGUUGUAAGGGAAGAAAUGGUAGGAUAGGAAAUGAUCCUGCUUUGACGGUACCUUACCAGAAAGCCACGGCUAACUAUGUGCCAGCAGCCGCGGUAAUACAUACGUGGCAAGCGUUAUCCGGGAUUUAUUGGGCGUACAGGUGCGUAAGUGGUUCGAUAAGCUUUAAGGGUUAAAUCCCGGGGGCUCACCCCGGGUUCGCCUUGAAAACUGUCGUACUAGAAUACAGAUAAGGUAGAUGGAAUUCCUGGUGUAGCGUGAAAUGCGUAGA